Molecule: ribosomal RNA, 467 nt
Filed under: uncultured bacterium
Lineage: Bacteria
Description: partial 16S ribosomal RNA
Rfam family: Bacterial small subunit ribosomal RNA
Source: RNAcentral
GACGAACGCAGGCGGCGUGCUUAACACAUGCAAGUCGAACGGUAAGUGCCCUUUCGGGGGGUACUCGAGUGGAGAACGGGUGAGUAAAUCAUGUGUAGCCUGCCCAUGACUUUGGGAUAACUCCAGGUAACUGAGGCUAAUACCGGGUAGGAGCUCCUGCUGCCUGGUGGGGGCUGGAGAGUUUCGGCUGUUGGGGAUGGACUCGCGGCUUAUCAGCUUGGUGGUGCGGUAGUGGGUUACCAAGGCUUUGUCGGGGCGCCGGCCUGCGAGGGUGACCGGCCACAUUGGGACUGAGAUACGGCCCAGACUCCUACGGGAGGCAGCAGCGGGGAAUAUUGCACAAUGGGUGGAAGCCUGAUGCAGCAACGCCGUGUGCGGGAUGACGGCCUUCGGGUUGUAAACCGCUUUCGCUCAUGACGAAGCUUUGUGUGACGGUAGUGGGUAAAGAAGCACCGGCUAACUACGUG